UACGUAGGUAGCAAGCGUUGUCCGGAAUCAUUGGGCGUAAAUCGCGCGUAGGCGGCCUCGUAAGUCCGUUGUGAAAGUCAAAGGCUCAACCUUUGAAAGCCGAUGGAUACUGUGAGGCUAGAGUCCGGAAGAGGCGAGUGGAAUUCCUGGUGUAGCGGUGGAAUGCGCAGAUAUCAGGAGGAACACCGGUGGCGAAGGCGGGUCUCUGGGCAGUAACUGACGCUGAGGAGCGAAAGCGUGGGGAGCGAACAGG
RNAcentral lists this ribosomal RNA (253 nucleotides) under uncultured bacterium. Its description in RNAcentral is "partial 16S ribosomal RNA". It matches the Rfam family "Bacterial small subunit ribosomal RNA", at positions 524 to 776 of the family's 1533-position model. The record is from RNAcentral.